This 700-nucleotide ribosomal RNA is filed under the name uncultured bacterium. RNAcentral describes it as "bacterial SSU rRNA". It matches the Rfam family "Bacterial small subunit ribosomal RNA", at positions 8 to 721 of the family's 1533-position model. The record is from RNAcentral.
AGAGUUUGAUCCUGGCUCAGGAUGAACGCUGGCGGCGUGCUUAACACAUGCAAGUCGAACGGUGAAAGAGAGCUUGCUCUCUGGAUCAGUGGCGAACGGGUGAGUAACACGUGAGCAAUCUGCCCCUGACUCUGGGAUAAGCGCUGGAAACGGCGUCUAAUACCGGAUACGAGCUGCGAAGGCAUCUUCAGCAGCUGGAAAGAACUUCGGUCAGGGAUGAGCUCGCGGCCUAUCAGCUAGUUGGUGAGGUAACGGCUCACCAAGGCGUCGACGGGUAGCCGGCCUGAGAGGGUGACCGGCCACACUGGGACUGAGACACGGCCCAGACUCCUACGGGAGGCAGCAGUGGGGAAUAUUGCACAAUGGGCGAAAGCCUGAUGCAGCAACGCCGCGUGAGGGACGACGGCCUUCGGGUUGUAAACCUCUUUUAGCAGGGAAGAAGCGAAAGUGACGGUACCUGCAGAAAAAGCACCGGCUAACUACGUGCCAGCAGCCGCGGUAAUACGUAGGGUGCAAGCGUUAUCCGGAAUUAUUGGGCGUAAAGAGCUCGUAGGCGGUCUGUCGCGUCUGCUGUGAAAACCCGAGGCUCAACCUCGGGCCUGCAGUGGGUACGGGCAGACUAGAGUGCGGUAGGGGAGAUUGGAAUUCCUGGUGUAGCGGUGGAAUGCGCAGAUAUCAGGAGGAACACCGAUGGCGAAGG